CGAGAAAGCCCGCAAGGGUGAGUAAAGCGGCGCGCGGGUGAGUAACACGUGGGUAAUCUGCCCUAGAGUCCGGAAUAACUCGCCGAAAGGCGUGCUAAUGCCGGAUGAGACCACGGAGUCUUCGGACUCUGCGGGAAAAGGUGGCCUCUGUACACAAGCUAUCGCUUCAGGAUGAGUCCGCGGCCCAUCAGCUAGUUGGCGGGGUAAAGGCCCACCAAGGCAACGACGGGUAGCUGGUCUGAGAGGACGAUCAGCCACACUGGAACUGAGACACGGUCCAGACUCCUACGGGAGGCAGCAGUGGGGAAUCUUGCGCAAUGGGCGAAAGCCUGACGCAGCAACGCCGCGUGUGUGAUGAAGGUCUUCGGAUCGUAAAGCACUGUCGCGAGGGACG
Molecule: ribosomal RNA, 394 nt
Filed under: uncultured Anaeromyxobacter sp.
Lineage: Bacteria; Pseudomonadati; Myxococcota; Myxococcia; Myxococcales; Anaeromyxobacteraceae
Description: bacterial SSU rRNA
Rfam family: Bacterial small subunit ribosomal RNA
Source: RNAcentral